Condylura cristata (star-nosed mole) is the source of this 1740-nucleotide long non-coding RNA. RefSeq lists it as uncharacterized. The transcript has 3 exons. The record is from RefSeq and is a predicted model, not a curated record. Lineage: Eukaryota; Metazoa; Chordata; Mammalia; Eulipotyphla; Talpidae.
AUCAGGAGUGAGCACAGGGCUCAGCUGGGUGGAGUUUCCUCCAGUUAGCAUCAGUCAGGACCACCUGAUGGUGUUCAGCUAGAGACAGAACGGGUCUGAAGGUUCCAGAACAGUUUUACUCAUAGGCCUGGCGUCUGGGCAGUGAUGGAUAUAUAUACAAUACACCUAGAGGAGACAAGAGGAGCUCCCAGGGUAAAAAGCAAAUGUUCUGUGAUUAGACGUUCGCCUGCUUAUUUCUGGUACCACUGACUUUUAAGUACGUGGGUGAGGACCCACAGACCCGCAACCCAGUUCACACUGGGGUGCCCUGUGACAAAAGGAAAACGGCCACCCAGACCUGCAGCCCGUGGCAGCCCCGACACGCUUUCCAGCUGACUCCCGUGAGCGGGAUCCUACUGUGUUCUAGCCAGCUGCUCUCGCUGCUGAAACGCAACAUUUGAAUCUCCAUGGAUACCUUAGAAGAUUCCCAGUGCCUCAGUCCAACCCCAGCAUGAAGAUCACGAUGCUUCAACUACACUGCAACGACUGGCCCCAGUACCCCACCCCGUGGCCUCUACAACUCCUUGCAGACCAACUGGAAGGACUAAGCACCAGUCGGGUUAGAGCCGGCAUUAGAGACAGGGUCUGAGGCACAGCACGGGGCCUGCUCUGGCCUGAAGCAGUGAUAGAAGACAGAACUCCCCGCAACAAAUGCUCAGGUGGCUUUUAGUAGAAUGUGCGUGUGUGUGUGUGUGUGUGUUGUGAAAGUGUGGGGGGAAGGGCUUGAUGGAAGCUUAGAGUAGAAACAAGGCCAGAAACUGGAAGUGGGGAUGGAGGCUUAAUGAGCCAAUACAGGAAAACCAGCCCAGCCUAAUCCCAAAGUGAUCAUUUGCACAAAGUAAUAAAAUUUCACAAAGUAAUAAACUCCACCAAAGACCCACGGCCCCCGCUCUUUAAGACGGCUGCCUGCCUGCAUCCAAGUGUCUUCUUCAAAGAAGUUUGCCAUGUCCAGUGAAGGACGCGUGUCCUCUUUCUCGGAGGAAGCCCAGAGCCCCGCCCACCGAACCCCACAACGUCUUCAACGACUUCACCGCUGGGUCUGGAAUGUGUCUUAUUUUCAUUGGCUUGUUCUAAACCAGAACACCUGCGCCCUGCCUCUGGCAAGGUACAGAAGUCCUGCUGGUAUCAGCCAGCCUGCCAGGCCCCCUUCGGUCGCUUCCCACCCACUUAGUUCAGUUUACCCGCCUGUGUGGCCUGGAGUAGGCUCCCCAGCCCCAUUUCCAGCUGUCCCCCACCUUCUUCUUUUGCAUCUCAUGCUCUCUUGGAUUGUUCUAAGACCUGAAGUGCAGUCUUUCCCAGAAGAGAAAUUAUGAGUCAGGUAGGUCACUGCAGGCCUCUGAGUGGUGCAGGCAUGUUGCAAAUGUCACGCUGGCCAGGCUCCAGCAGGCAGCUCCUCAUGGAAAUUCUUGCUGUUUUCAUAAGAUGCUGGAUUUUUCUUUUUCUUUUUUUUUUUUUUUAAACAAAAGAACAGUAUUGUCUGGGAAUGAGAAAAAGCUUGGCUCAUGUAAAAGAAGAAAGUCACAUCCGUGCCAGGCAGAGAGGAGUCUGCUGAUAAAACAAUGCAUUUUCUUCUCCGGUACAGGUGGUUAUGCUGUGACUGGACACAAUCACCCAAAUGGCCAUAGUCUGCCGGUCAGGCGGUUUUUUGGUUUUUGGUUUUUUUUUUGAGAUUUAUUUAUUGAUGCACAGAAGUGCGUACAG